GUGGUGUCACAAAAUCGGAGGCCCCGACUGUUUACUAAAAACACAAUUCAGAGCAAUGAUGUAAAUCAUAGUAUUCUGGAUGAAAUUUGCCCAAUGCCAUUAACAUAAAAGAGGUAAUGGGAAACUGUUACUAAUUGAAAGUCUGGUUAAUAGCGGUCUUAACUAUGAGGAUCCAAAGGUAGCAAAAUCAGUUGGCCAUUAAAUGUGGUCUGGUAUCAAUAGUGUAACGAUGGUCUCACUGUCUCUACAACUUGCUCAGUGAAAUUGAAUUAUCCGUGCAGAUGCGGAUUGCCUCCA
RNAcentral lists this ribosomal RNA (297 nucleotides) under Thelephoroid sp. EL4. RNAcentral's name for it is "partial large subunit ribosomal RNA". It matches the Rfam family "Bacterial large subunit ribosomal RNA", at positions 1773 to 2074 of the family's 2925-position model. Lineage: Eukaryota; Fungi; Basidiomycota; Agaricomycetes; Thelephorales; Thelephoraceae. The record is from RNAcentral.